UUAAGCGACUAAGCGUACACGGUGGAUGCCCUGGCAGUCAGAGGCGAUGAAGGACGUGCUAAUCUGCGAUAAGCGUCGGUAAGGUGAUAUGAACCGUUAUAACCGGCGAUUUCCGAAUGGGGAAACCCAGUGUGUUUCGACACACUAUCAUUAACUGAAUCCAUAGGUUAAUGAGGCGAACCGGGGGAACUGAAACAUCUAAGUACCCCGAGGAAAAGAAAUCAACCGAGAUUCCCCCAGUAGCGGCGAGCGAACGGGGAGGAGCCCAGAGCCUGAAUCAGUGUGUGUGUUAGUGGAAGCGUCUGGAAAGGCGCGCGAUACAGGGUGACAGUCCCGUACACAAAAAUGCACAUGCUGUGAGCUCGAUGAGUAGGGCGGGACACGUGGUAUCCUGUCUGAAUAUGGGGGACCAUCCUCCAAGGCUAAAUACUCCUGACUGACCGAUAGUGAACCAGUACCGUGAGGGAAAGGCGAAAAGAACCCCGGCGAGGGGAGUGAAAAAGAACCUGAAACCGUGUACGUACAAGCAGUGGGAGCACGCUUCGGCGUGUGACUGCGUACCUUUUGUAUAAUGGGUCAGCGACUUAUAUUCUGUAGCAAGGUUAACCGAAUAGGGGAGCCGAAGGGAAACCGAGUCUUAACUGGGCGUUAAGUUGCAGGGUAUAGACCCGAAACCCGGUGAUCUAGCCAUGGGCAGGUUGAAGGUUGGGUAACACUAACUGGAGGACCGAACCGACUAAUGUUGAAAAAUUAGCGGAUGACUUGUGGCUGGGGUGAAAGGCCAAUCAAACCGGGAGAUAGCUGGUUCUCCCCGAAAGCUAUUUAGGUAGCGCCUCGUGAAUUCAUCUCCGGGGGUAGAGCACUGUUUCGGCAAGGGGGUCAUCCCGACUUACCAACCCGAUGCAAACUGCGAAUACCGGAGAAUGUUAUCACGGGAGACACACGGCGGGUGCUAACGUCCGUCGUGAAGAGGGAAACAACCCAGACCGCCAGCUAAGGUCCCAAAGUCAUGGUUAAGUGGGAAACGAUGUGGGAAGGCCCAGACAGCCAGGAUGUUGGCUUAGAAGCAGCCAUCAUUUAAAGAAAGCGUAAUAGCUCACUGGUCGAGUCGGCCUGCGCGGAAGAUGUAACGGGGCUAAACCAUGCACCGAAGCUGCGGCAGCGACGCUUAUGUGUUGUUGGGUAGGGGAGCGUUCUGUAAGCCUGUGAAGGUGUACUGUGAGGUAUGCUGGAGGUAUCAGAAGUGCGAAUGCUGACAUAAGUAACGAUAAAGCGGGUGAAAAGCCCGCUCGCCGGAAGACCAAGGGUUCCUGUCCAACGUUAAUCGGGGCAGGGUGAGUCGACCCCUAAGGCGAGGCCGAAAGGCGUAGUCGAUGGGAAACAGGUUAAUAUUCCUGUACUUGGUGUUACUGCGAAGGGGGGACGGAGAAGGCUAUGUUGGCCGGGCGACGGUUGUCCCGGUUUAAGCGUGUAGGCUGGUUUUCCAGGCAAAUCCGGAAAAUCAAGGCUGAGGCGUGAUGACGAGGCACUACGGUGCUGAAGCAACAAAUGCCCUGCUUCCAGGAAAAGCCUCUAAGCAUCAGGUAACAUCAAAUCGUACCCCAAACCGACACAGGUGGUCAGGUAGAGAAUACCAAGGCGCUUGAGAGAACUCGGGUGAAGGAACUAGGCAAAAUGGUGCCGUAACUUCGGGAGAAGGCACGCUGAUAUGUAGGUGAAGUCCCUCGCGGAUGGAGCUGAAAUCAGUCGAAGAUACCAGCUGGCUGCAACUGUUUAUUAAAAACACAGCACUGUGCAAACACGAAAGUGGACGUAUACGGUGUGACGCCUGCCCGGUGCCGGAAGGUUAAUUGAUGGGGUCAGCGCAAGCGAAGCUCUUGAUCGAAGCCCCGGUAAACGGCGGCCGUAACUAUAACGGUCCUAAGGUAGCGAAAUUCCUUGUCGGGUAAGUUCCGACCUGCACGAAUGGCGUAAUGAUGGCCAGGCUGUCUCCACCCGAGACUCAGUGAAAUUGAACUCGCUGUGAAGAUGCAGUGUACCCGCGGCAAGACGGAAAGACCCCGUGAACCUUUACUAUAGCUUGACACUGAACAUUGAGCCUUGAUGUGUAGGAUAGGUGGGAGGCUUUGAAGUGUGGACGCCAGUCUGCAUGGAGCCGACCUUGAAAUACCACCCUUUAAUGUUUGAUGUUCUAACGUUGACCCGUUAUCCGGGUUGCGGACAGUGUCUGGUGGGUAGUUUGACUGGGGCGGUCUCCUCCUAAAGAGUAACGGAGGAGCACGAAGGUUGGCUAAUCCUGGUCGGACAUCAGGAGGUUAGUGCAAUGGCAUAAGCCAGCUUGACUGCGAGCGUGACGGCGCGAGCAGGUGCGAAAGCAGGUCAUAGUGAUCCGGUGGUUCUGAAUGGAAGGGCCAUCGCUCAACGGAUAAAAGGUACUCCGGGGAUAACAGGCUGAUACCGCCCAAGAGUUCAUAUCGACGGCGGUGUUUGGCACCUCGAUGUCGGCUCAUCACAUCCUGGGGCUGAAGUAGGUCCCAAGGGUAUGGCUGUUCGCCAUUUAAAGUGGUACGCGAGCUGGGUUUAGAACGUCGUGAGACAGUUCGGUCCCUAUCUGCCGUGGGCGCUGGAGAACUGAGGGGGGCUGCUCCUAGUACGAGAGGACCGGAGUGGACGCAUCACUGGUGUUCGGGUUGUCAUGCCAAUGGCACUGCCCGGUAGCUAAAUGCGGAAGAGAUAAGUGCUGAAAGCAUCUAAGCACGAAACUUGCCCCGAGAUGAGUUCUCCCUGACUCCCUGAGAGUCCUGAAGGAACGUUGAAGACGACGACGUUGAUAGGCCGGGUGUGUAAGCGCAGCGAUGCGUUGAGCUAACCGGUACUAAUGAACCGUGAGGCUUAACCUU
This 2900-nucleotide ribosomal RNA is filed under the name Escherichia coli. RNAcentral's name for it is "23S ribosomal RNA". It matches the Rfam family "Bacterial large subunit ribosomal RNA". Lineage: Bacteria; Pseudomonadati; Pseudomonadota; Gammaproteobacteria; Enterobacterales; Enterobacteriaceae. The record is from RNAcentral.